CGACAAGGGUUCCAGUCAAUUCAAAUCGGUUUUAACUACACAAUACCGACCAAAUCGCCAGCGAAAUGUUAUUGUUUUCAGUGAUUGCAGUCUGUCUGACUUUGCUCGAUCUGAUUUCUACCAGGUCCGCUAACAACUCAGCCGAUUGUGAACUCGAGGAAAUUUUUUAUCCGUGCGGUAACUGUUAUGAGGACUUUUGCGGAAGAAAAUAUGCUACCUGCUACAUGUGCAAUCCAGGGUGCUUUUGUCAACAGGGAUACGUCCGAAGAGAGGAGAAUGGACAAUGUAUUAAAAUUGAGGAAUGCCGACUGACUUAAUUUGUAUCUAUGCAAUAGAAGAAUUCUAAAUAUAGAUUGAAGACAUUGUCUCCAUUUGAGUUUGAGUUGACAAUACAGCAUUUAUUGGAUGUUUUAUAAAAUGGGUUCCUUCCAAGUAGCAUUCCUAGUUUUAUAGCACACUACAAGUGCAUUCUAAGUUUUA
Molecule: long non-coding RNA, 480 nt
Organism: Topomyia yanbarensis
Lineage: Eukaryota; Metazoa; Arthropoda; Insecta; Diptera; Culicidae
Exons: 3
Source: RefSeq, a predicted model, not a curated record